GUACCACUGAGCUAAAGCUCAUUGGUGAAUAUCACAUGCAACUACGAAAGUAAUUAUGAGUGGUUAACAUGAGAUAUGUGAUGCUGUUGUUUGGUGUAAAUGAAUUCCAUAUCUAAGGGUCCAUUUGGAUAACCUUGUGUUUGAAAUGAAUGUGGAUUUAGACGUAAGUUUCAAGUGAAAAAUCAUAUUAACUCACAUAAUGUCAAACUCAAAUAUCUAUUCAUUUCAAAUCCUCUUCUAUCCAAACGUAUUCAUUUAUAAAUUCACACUUAACAUUCUAAUUGUGCACAAAUCUCAUUUAAAUUAUGUAUCUUUAAUUCUGUAGAAUUUGUUAUACUGAGCCAAUUCAUGACAGAAUUGGCAAAUAAAUUCUACCAUAGAAA
This 383-nucleotide unclassified non-coding RNA is filed under the name Hevea brasiliensis (rubber tree). Lineage: Eukaryota; Viridiplantae; Streptophyta; Magnoliopsida; Malpighiales; Euphorbiaceae. The record is from RNAcentral.